AAAGUUGAAAAGAACUUUGAAGAGAGAGUUCAAGAGUACGUGAAACCGUUCAGGGGUAAACCUGAGAAACCCAAAAGAUCGAAUGGGGAGAUUCAUCGUCAACAUGUCUGAUAUAUGUAUGAGUUAUGAUGUAGAUUAUCCCUUCACGGGGAUAUUAAUCUGUACAUACUUGUAUUAUUUUAUUGUCAUACAUUGUCGGCGUGCACUUCUCCCCUAGUAGGACGUCGCGACCCGUUAGGUGUCGGUCUACGGCCCGAUUGGGUAGCCUUUGAUUGUAAAAAAUUAAAGACCAAUUGGUGUUUUCUGACCGACUGCUUGGCGGUACUCGUACAGUAUUGAGUCGCAAUUAUAUGCGUUCACACCCGUCGCAAGCGCGGCCAGUAUCCCGGUAGUGCGGACCUAGUGCCGUCACUGGGCCUGGCCAGCUGUUGGCUGUUGCGGUGUUCUGGAACUGACUCAAAUAAUAAAUUACUGGUCGGCGACGCUACUGCUUUGGGUACUUUCAGGACCCGUCUUGAAACACGGACCAAGGAGUCUAACAUGUGCGCGAGUCAUUGGGAUUUUUUAUUAAAUUAAACCUAAAGGCGCAAUGAAAGUAAAGAUCGUCCUUGCGUCGAUCGAGGGAGGAUGAGCCGUGUUACGAUACGGCUCCGCACUCCCGGGGCGUCUCAUUCUUAUUGCAAGAA
RNAcentral lists this ribosomal RNA (686 nucleotides) under Austrohormius sp. BIOUG27033-C01. RNAcentral describes it as "partial 28S ribosomal RNA". It matches the Rfam family "Eukaryotic large subunit ribosomal RNA", at positions 360 to 789 of the family's 3401-position model. The record is from RNAcentral. Lineage: Eukaryota; Metazoa; Arthropoda; Insecta; Hymenoptera; Braconidae.